This 65-nucleotide transfer RNA is filed under the name Kurthia massiliensis. It matches the Rfam family "tRNA", at positions 5 to 66 of the family's 71-position model. From Rfam's summary of the family: Transfer RNA (tRNA) molecules are approximately 80 nucleotides in length. Their secondary structure includes four short double-helical elements and three loops (D, anti-codon, and T loops). Lineage: Bacteria; Bacillati; Bacillota; Bacilli; Caryophanales; Caryophanaceae. The record is from RNAcentral.
UACUUAGUUUAGUGGUAGAACAGCGGUCUCGUAAUCCGCAGACGAGAGUUCGAUUCUCCCAGUGG